Molecule: unclassified non-coding RNA, 527 nt
Filed under: Patiria miniata (bat star)
Lineage: Eukaryota; Metazoa; Echinodermata; Asteroidea; Valvatida; Asterinidae
Description: lactadherin-like, transcript variant X1
Source: RNAcentral
UUUCCAACUGCAUGUUGAUGACUUUGCCCCAAUUACCUUAUAUGUACAUUUUAUGCAAAUCGAGGUGUGAUCUUCUUUUGUUAACGCCUGUGUGUAGUGUGGGCAAGGGGAUUCCUAAGGAGGUAAUCCUCAAUACUGGUUCACUGGAGUACUCACAUACUUUGACGCUGUGGAUUUUUAGGGGCGGUGUUUUUAGAGAGAAGCAUAUAGACUGAAGGUGCGGUAGCAUGCACAGAGCUAUAGCUCCAUAGAUAUAGCGACAUAGUGCUAAAUCUUAUUUUGGAUCCUGUUUCGAGAAUCCUGUUUCUGGCGAUAGCCUAAAUUUAAGCGAUAGUUGCUGACGUAGUAGGAUUUUCGCCUGCUUCUCAAGAGCUGCGUCAGAGCCAGCGAAUUUACACCCCUUGAUGGUGUUCCAGGCCUUAGGAGCCAGUAUAUACUUUCUCUGGAAACUCGGACCAAAACACCCAAGUGACCACCACUUUCCCGAAGGCCUUCCAGGCCAGGUUCCUGCGUAUCCUGCCUACUCA